Molecule: long non-coding RNA, 384 nt
Filed under: Mytilus galloprovincialis (Mediterranean mussel)
Lineage: Eukaryota; Metazoa; Mollusca; Bivalvia; Mytilida; Mytilidae
Source: RNAcentral
GGGAAAAUACACAAUGCACGUGGGCAAGACAGGCCUAUAUAUAAUUAUAAGGGAACGGAAGUUGCAAUGGAUAAAUCCAGCAGAAUGUAGAUGGUAAAGAUCAGACACAAUAAGACAUUGCCAAACAAUACAUAAGACACAAAAUUCCGUUAACAAAUAUUUUCCAUAAAGACAAAUAGACGGUCAAAACUAUUGUCAAACACAUAAUGAUGAGUAUACAAAUAAUUUAGUAGACACGAGACACAAGUUAAUAUGAGUGCCAUGGACAAAAGCACUAGAUCGAGAGAAAAAUGAACACUAACAAGUGAUUGAAUUGAAAACUGUCAUGGAGAUAUAUGUCAGAAGAUUUUAUACGACCAAGGAAAUCAAAAGAAACAGCAAGAC